Molecule: ribosomal RNA, 450 nt
Filed under: uncultured bacterium
Lineage: Bacteria
Description: partial 16S ribosomal RNA
Rfam family: Bacterial small subunit ribosomal RNA
Source: RNAcentral
CCUACGGGGGGCUGCAGUAAGGAAUAUUGGUCAAUGGACGAAAGUCUGAACCAGCCAUGCCGCGUGAAGGAUGAAGGUCCUCUGGAUUGUAAACUUCUUUUAUCUGGGACGCAAAAAGGGAAUUCUUUCUCACUUGACGGUACCAGAAGAAUAAGCACCGGCUAACUCCGUGCCAGCAGCCGCGGUAAUACGGAGGGUGCAAGCGUUAUCGGGAUUCAAGGGGUCGUAGGGGUGCAUAUAAGUGCGGUGAGAAAGCUCCGGGCUUAACCCGGAAACUGCCAUUGAUACUAUCUGUCUUGAAUACUCUGGAGGUAAGCGGAAUAUGUCAUGUAGCGGUGAAAUGCUUAGAUAUGACAUAGAACACCGAUUGCGAAGGCAGCUUACUACGGAGUCAUUGACACUGAGGCACGAAAGCGUGGGGAUCAAACAGGAUUAGAUACCCUAGUAGUC